GUCAGGAUGGCCGACCCGGUGGGAAGGCGCCAGACUCAAGGCUUAAAUUUCUUACUCGCUUCAGAGGUUUUUCGGUCUCUGAAAAAGGAGGGCGUGGGUUCAAACCCACUCCUGACA
Crenichthys baileyi (White River springfish) is the source of this 117-nucleotide non-coding RNA. The record is from the annotation of a GenBank genome assembly. NCBI's taxonomy places the organism in Eukaryota, Metazoa, Chordata, Actinopteri, Cyprinodontiformes, Goodeidae.